This 24-nucleotide non-coding RNA is filed under the name Arabidopsis thaliana (thale cress). The record is from RNAcentral. Lineage: Eukaryota; Viridiplantae; Streptophyta; Magnoliopsida; Brassicales; Brassicaceae.
UAUAGGUGACGUAAAUGGGCUACA